This is a long non-coding RNA of Dendronephthya gigantea, 290 nucleotides long. RefSeq lists it as uncharacterized. The record is from RefSeq and is a predicted model, not a curated record. The transcript is spliced from 3 exons. Lineage: Eukaryota; Metazoa; Cnidaria; Anthozoa; Malacalcyonacea; Nephtheidae.
UUGAUGUCUAAUCUGGGGUCUGUAGAGGAUGAGCUUCUUGAAUGGAGUUGUUCCACACGUCAUCUAAUUUUCAGUAAUUUUGAAAGUAUGCUUCUCCAAUACAGAAGCGCGCGGUUUACGAAAAGAAAACUGGCAACUAAUCAGCCGUGUAACCAACUCCAACCAUUAUUGCUCCAACAACCAUUGAUUGUGCUAUUACUCGGAGUCUCAUGAGACUCCUCAACUGCUGGUGAUGCAAAUUCGGCAACCUCUUCCGCGGUCGGUGUUCUUCUUGCUGACAUUUCGCGUGA